GGCACUUUGGCCGAGUGGUCUAAGGCGCCGUGUUCAGGCCUAGAUUCGCUCUCGCAGCGUAUCUUCUUCUUCGCGGUCUAGUAAUAGGCGAGGGUUCGAAUCCCUCAGGUGUCA
This 114-nucleotide transfer RNA is filed under the name Claviceps purpurea (ergot fungus). RNAcentral's name for it is "tRNA-Leu". It matches the Rfam family "tRNA". From Rfam's summary of the family: Transfer RNA (tRNA) molecules are approximately 80 nucleotides in length. Their secondary structure includes four short double-helical elements and three loops (D, anti-codon, and T loops). The record is from RNAcentral. Lineage: Eukaryota; Fungi; Ascomycota; Sordariomycetes; Hypocreales; Clavicipitaceae.